Molecule: ribosomal RNA, 777 nt
Filed under: uncultured Neocallimastigales
Lineage: Eukaryota; Fungi; Neocallimastigomycota; Neocallimastigomycetes; Neocallimastigales
Description: partial large subunit ribosomal RNA
Rfam family: Eukaryotic large subunit ribosomal RNA
Source: RNAcentral
AGAGAGAGACAUGCGCGCAUAUCAAUAAGCGGAGGAAAAGAAACUAACUAGGAUUCCCUCAGUAACGGCGAGUGAAGCGGGAAGAGCUCAAAUUUGAAAUCUUCAAGGUUCUACCUUGACGAAUUGUAGUUUAAAGAAGUGUUUUCUGUUGGAGUUUUGGUAAAAGUUCUUUGGAAUAGGACAUCAUAGAGGGUGAGAAUCCCGUAUUUGACCAUUAUUUCCAACUUUGUGAUACACUUUCAAAGAGUCGGAUUGUUUGGGAAUGCAGUCCAAAAUGGGUGGUAAAUUUCAUCUAAAGCUAAAUACUGGCGAGAGACCGAUAGCGAACAAGUACCGUGAGGGAAAGAUGAAAAGAACUUUGAAAAGAGAGUUAAACAGUACGUGAAAUUGUCAAAAGGGAAGCGUUUGACACCAGUGUUGUUUUCUCGAAAAUCAAUUAAAAAUGGUGGGAUUUUGUGUUGUAUUGACUUUAUCAGCUUUCUGCACUUUUUUCCUUAUCUUUUUUAAUGCACUUUUCGUUUAACAAGUCAACAUCAAUUUCUUUUGUUGUAAAAGGGUCAUUGGAAGGUGGCUUUCCUUUCGGAUGAAAGUGUUUAUAGCCUUUGGACUUCUGCAAUCGGAGAGAUUGAGGUCUGCAGCGUAGAUCCUUCGGGGUUAGAUACAUUUGUGCUAAGUUAUAGCUUUUCAUAGACAACAUGUUGACUAUGAUUAAGUCAUGUAGCUUACUCGCUUAUGCUAUUUUACCUACGCUUAGGAUGUUGACAGCAGUAUAGACUG